RNAcentral lists this non-coding RNA (83 nucleotides) under Solanum tuberosum (potato). The record is from RNAcentral. Lineage: Eukaryota; Viridiplantae; Streptophyta; Magnoliopsida; Solanales; Solanaceae.
GUGUCCAUAGAAAGGAGAGAUGGUUGGCAUCUUUCCUGAUGGGAUGAGAGCAACCUUCGGACUUUACCUGUUUACUAUUUUGU